Molecule: ribosomal RNA, 460 nt
Filed under: uncultured bacterium
Lineage: Bacteria
Description: partial 16S ribosomal RNA
Rfam family: Bacterial small subunit ribosomal RNA
Source: RNAcentral
CUACGGGCUGCUGCAGUUUCGAAUAAUUCACAAUGGGCGCAAGCCUGAUGAUGCGACGUUACGUGAAGGAAGAAAGCUUUAAGUUGUAAACUUCUGUCGUUAAGGAACAAAAAAUUAAGUAGUACUUUUUAUAUUGAGUUAACUUAAAAAGGAAGCAGUGGCUAAUUUCGUGCCAGCAGCCGCGGUAAUACGGGAACUGCAAGCGUUGCUCGGUUUUAUUGGGCGUAAAGAGUACGUAGGCUGUUAUAUAUGUUAGUUGUUAAAUUUUAAAGUUAAUCUUUAAAUUUGCUGUUAAAACUAUAUAACUAGAAUUUCAAAGAGGUAAGUGGAAUUUCAAGUGUAGCGGUGAAAUGCGUAGAUAUUUGAAGGAACACCAAUGGCGAAAGCAACUUACUGGGUGAUAAUUGACGCUAAAGUACGAAAGUAUAGGGAGCAAAAGGGAUUAGAUACCCCCGUAGUC